GCUAAGGCUUCCUUAUUUUUUCUACCUUAGGAAAUAAACAUCAGGAUGCAAUUUUCUUCUUUUAGGGCUGAUAACUGGGAUAAGGAAGCCUGUGAUCCCCUUAGGAAAGCACGGGGCACUUUAACUUCUCAGUUUGCCUCUUGUGACCUUGAUCUUUGGAGAGCCCUCCUUCAGCUUUUGAUCAUCAUCAGCUCUGAUCCCAGGCAAGACUAGAAUGCUGCGAAGCCUCCACCUUUACUUUAAUUUGCAAAUCUGUUCUCCUUCUGUGCUCUGAAUUAUGGUGAAACGUAGCUUUCAGUUUAUUGGGUGACGUGGAGGAACUCAACUAAUCAGUUGGGUUAGUUUGUGGGAGAAGGAAGGAAUCACUGCAUUAAAGCAAAAUGCCGUUCCUGGUCUGGGGAAGAGCUGAUUUUUCCAUGAACGUUGCUGAAAUCCCUUAGUGUUUUCCAACCACUCCAGCAGCUGGAGACUUUCAGAAUAUGAAGGAUAUCUCGUGAGGCAAAGGUGUUGUCCACAACAUUAUUUUUUUUUCUGGGUAAAUGCUGAAGUUUAUUUAAAAAAAACCAUACAAAUAAACAGAACUAAGCAAACACAAAAAUUGUGUGGCUGCUAGAUAAAAAACAACAGGGGGAAUGAAGCUGUUGGUUGUUUUUUCCUCCAGUGGGAGGAGGAGAAGUCUCCCUUCUGACACAUGUGAUAUGUUCUGGAAGUUCUGAGCUUGAAGUGCAGCCGAGUGAAAUCUGAUGACUGGCUUUCACUUGCACUUCUGGGAGAGCAAUGCUCCCUUGCAGUGCCGUGUUCACGUUCUUUAACAAAAACCAUGCACGGCUGCUAAAAUUUAGACCUGUAGUGUUCCUACAGAAAGGUGGAUAUCUAAGAGCUUAGGAUUGUUUGCUAAGAAAAUAAACCACGCCCUUGUUGGUAGUGUGCUAGCUGUUAGGAUCUCCCCUAGAUUUCCUGAACUUUUUUGUUAUGGAAGACAUUGAUAAAUGUUAUCAAAAGGACAAUAAAACAA
Cygnus olor (mute swan) is the source of this 1015-nucleotide long non-coding RNA. RefSeq lists it as uncharacterized. The record is from RefSeq and is a predicted model, not a curated record. The transcript is spliced from 2 exons. NCBI's taxonomy places the organism in Eukaryota, Metazoa, Chordata, Aves, Anseriformes, Anatidae.